GUGGGGAAUAUUGCGCAAUGGGCGAAAGCCUGACGCAGCAACGCCGCGUGAGUGAUGAAGGCCUUCGGGUCGUAAAGCUCUGUCGGGAGGAACGAAUAUCCGUCGGGAACAAUACCUCGGCGGUUUGACGGUACCUCCAAAGGAAGCACCGGCUAACUCCGUGCCAGCAGCCGCGGUAAUACGGAGGGUGCAAGCGUUGUUCGGAAUUACUGGGCGUAAAGCGCGUGUAGGCGGACUUGGAAGUCGGGUGUGAAAGCCCCGGGCUUAACUCGGGAAGUGCGCUCGAAACCACAAGUCUUGAGGUCCGGAGGGGAUCGGGGAAUUCCUGGUGUAGAGGUGAAAUUCGUAGAUAUCAGGAGGAACACCGGCGGCGAAGGCGCCGAUCUGGACGGAUUCUGACGCUGAGACGCGAAAGCGUGGGUAGCAAACAGGAUUAGAAACCCCGGUAGUCC
This 452-nucleotide ribosomal RNA is filed under the name uncultured bacterium. RNAcentral describes it as "bacterial SSU rRNA". It matches the Rfam family "Bacterial small subunit ribosomal RNA", at positions 354 to 796 of the family's 1533-position model. The record is from RNAcentral.